GCUGGGUACAGUGGUGCAUGCCUGUAAUCCCAGUGGCUUGGGAGGCUGAGGCAGGAAGAUUGCCAAGUUCAAAGCCAGCCUCAGCAAAAGUGAGGCCCUAAGCAACUCAGUAAGACCCUGUCUCAA
This 126-nucleotide small RNA is filed under the name Marmota monax (woodchuck). The record is from RNAcentral. Lineage: Eukaryota; Metazoa; Chordata; Mammalia; Rodentia; Sciuridae.